GAAGAGUAGAUAAAGAAUUCUUAAUUAGUAGUAGUUAUGUUCUUGAAAAUUAAUAAAGAUGGCGGUAUCUUAGUCCUUUCAGAGGAACCUGUCCUGUAAUUGAUAAUCCACGUGCUAAAUUGCUUGUUUUAUGAUAGCUUAUAUAUCGCUGUAGUUUGAGUAUUUCUUUUGAAUUUUUAAUAUUCAUAAUUUUUAGGGAAAGUAAUUCAAGUCAAGAUGUAGCUUAUGAGUAAGUAGAGAUGGGUUACAAUAUUUUUAUAUGUGGAAUUAAAUUUGUGAAAUUUAUUGAAAAUGGAUUUGAGAGUAAUUUGGGAUUAGGUUUUUUGGAUGAUUUAGGCUCUAGGAU
RNAcentral lists this ribosomal RNA (346 nucleotides) under Premnobius sexspinosus. Its description in RNAcentral is "partial 12S small subunit ribosomal RNA". Lineage: Eukaryota; Metazoa; Arthropoda; Insecta; Coleoptera; Curculionidae. The record is from RNAcentral.